UCCAGGUUGUCCCUGGCGGUCUCCUGCGAGUGCCCCCUUGCGGAGUUGCAACACAGGACGAGGGUUGCGCUCGUUGCGGGACUUAACCCAACAUCUCACGACACGAGCUGACGACAGCCAUGCAGCACCUCGACCGGACUCCCUUGCGGGAUAGAGGUGUUUCCACCCCCGUUGACCGGCCGUUCGAGCCCAGGUAAGGUUCUUCGCGUUGCGUCGAAUUGAACCACAUGCUCCACCGCUUGUGCGGGCCCCCGUCAAUUCCUUUGAGUUUCAGCCUUGCGACUGUACUCCCCAGGCGGCGCACUUAACGCGUUAGCUCCGGCACGGAUGAACUGAAUCACCCACACCAAGUGCGCAUCGUUUAGGGCGUGGACUAC
RNAcentral lists this unclassified non-coding RNA (377 nucleotides) under uncultured Bryobacterales bacterium. Its description in RNAcentral is "contains 16S-23S intergenic spacer region". Lineage: Bacteria; Pseudomonadati; Acidobacteriota; Terriglobia; Bryobacterales. The record is from RNAcentral.